This 407-nucleotide ribosomal RNA is filed under the name Paraburkholderia tropica. RNAcentral describes it as "bacterial SSU rRNA". It matches the Rfam family "Bacterial small subunit ribosomal RNA", at positions 960 to 1370 of the family's 1533-position model. Lineage: Bacteria; Pseudomonadati; Pseudomonadota; Betaproteobacteria; Burkholderiales; Burkholderiaceae. The record is from RNAcentral.
CGCGAAGAAAACUUACCUUUUCUCUACAUGUACGGAACCCCGCCGAGAGGUGGAAGUGCCCGAAAGGGAGCCGUAACACAGGUGCUGCAUGGCUGUCGUCAGCUCGUGUCGUUAGAUGUUUGUUUUAGUUCCGCAACGAGCGCAACCCUUGUCUCUUUGUUGCUACGCAAGAGCACUCCAGGGAGACUGCCGGUGACAAACCGGAGGAAGGUGGGGAUGACGUCAAGUCCUCAUGGCCCUUAUGGGUAGGGCUUCACACGUCAUACAAUGGUCGGAACAGAGGGUUGCCAAGCCGCGAGGUGGAGCCAAUCCCAGAAAACCGAUCGUAGUCCGGAUCGCAGUCUGCAACUCGACUGCGUGAAGCUGGAAUCGCUAGUAAUCGCGGAUCAGCAUGCCGCGGGAAUACG